RNAcentral lists this transfer RNA (62 nucleotides) under Downesia tarsata. Its description in RNAcentral is "tRNA-Ile". Lineage: Eukaryota; Metazoa; Arthropoda; Insecta; Coleoptera; Chrysomelidae. The record is from RNAcentral.
UGUAAUGUGCCUGAUAAAAAGGGUGAUUUUGAUAGAAUCAAAAAUGUUUUUUACCUUUACAA